RNAcentral lists this ribosomal RNA (253 nucleotides) under uncultured bacterium. Its description in RNAcentral is "partial 16S ribosomal RNA". It matches the Rfam family "Bacterial small subunit ribosomal RNA", at positions 524 to 776 of the family's 1533-position model. The record is from RNAcentral.
UACGUAGGGGGCAAGCGUUGUCCGGAAUCACUGGGCGUAAAGGGCGCGUAGGUGGUUUGAUAAGGGUGUGGUGAAAGUCCGGAGCUCAACUCCGGAUCUGCCGUGCCGACUGUCAAACUCGAGGGCUGUAGAGGCAGACGGAAUUCCGGGUGUAGCGGUGGAAUGCGUAGAUAUCUGGAGGAAUACCGGUGGCGAAGGCAGCUCGCUGGGACGGUACUGACGCUAAGGCGCGAAAGCGUGGGGAGCGAACAGG